RNAcentral lists this ribosomal RNA (1542 nucleotides) under Salmonella enterica subsp. enterica. RNAcentral describes it as "16S ribosomal RNA". It matches the Rfam family "Bacterial small subunit ribosomal RNA". Lineage: Bacteria; Pseudomonadati; Pseudomonadota; Gammaproteobacteria; Enterobacterales; Enterobacteriaceae. The record is from RNAcentral. RNAcentral also lists the same sequence under 1 other name.
AAAUUGAAGAGUUUGAUCAUGGCUCAGAUUGAACGCUGGCGGCAGGCCUAACACAUGCAAGUCGAACGGUAACAGGAAGCAGCUUGCUGCUUUGCUGACGAGUGGCGGACGGGUGAGUAAUGUCUGGGAAACUGCCUGAUGGAGGGGGAUAACUACUGGAAACGGUGGCUAAUACCGCAUAACGUCGCAAGACCAAAGAGGGGGACCUUCGGGCCUCUUGCCAUCAGAUGUGCCCAGAUGGGAUUAGCUUGUUGGUGAGGUAACGGCUCACCAAGGCGACGAUCCCUAGCUGGUCUGAGAGGAUGACCAGCCACACUGGAACUGAGACACGGUCCAGACUCCUACGGGAGGCAGCAGUGGGGAAUAUUGCACAAUGGGCGCAAGCCUGAUGCAGCCAUGCCGCGUGUAUGAAGAAGGCCUUCGGGUUGUAAAGUACUUUCAGCGGGGAGGAAGGUGUUGUGGUUAAUAACCGCAGCAAUUGACGUUACCCGCAGAAGAAGCACCGGCUAACUCCGUGCCAGCAGCCGCGGUAAUACGGAGGGUGCAAGCGUUAAUCGGAAUUACUGGGCGUAAAGCGCACGCAGGCGGUCUGUCAAGUCGGAUGUGAAAUCCCCGGGCUCAACCUGGGAACUGCAUUCGAAACUGGCAGGCUUGAGUCUUGUAGAGGGGGGUAGAAUUCCAGGUGUAGCGGUGAAAUGCGUAGAGAUCUGGAGGAAUACCGGUGGCGAAGGCGGCCCCCUGGACAAAGACUGACGCUCAGGUGCGAAAGCGUGGGGAGCAAACAGGAUUAGAUACCCUGGUAGUCCACGCCGUAAACGAUGUCUACUUGGAGGUUGUGCCCUUGAGGCGUGGCUUCCGGAGCUAACGCGUUAAGUAGACCGCCUGGGGAGUACGGCCGCAAGGUUAAAACUCAAAUGAAUUGACGGGGGCCCGCACAAGCGGUGGAGCAUGUGGUUUAAUUCGAUGCAACGCGAAGAACCUUACCUGGUCUUGACAUCCACGGAAGAAUCCAGAGAUGGAUUGGUGCCUUCGGGAACCGUGAGACAGGUGCUGCAUGGCUGUCGUCAGCUCGUGUUGUGAAAUGUUGGGUUAAGUCCCGCAACGAGCGCAACCCUUAUCCUUUGUUGCCAGCGGUCCGGCCGGGAACUCAAAGGAGACUGCCAGUGAUAAACUGGAGGAAGGUGGGGAUGACGUCAAGUCAUCAUGGCCCUUACGACCAGGGCUACACACGUGCUACAAUGGCGCAUACAAAGAGAAGCGACCUCGCGAGAGCAAGCGGACCUCAUAAAGUGCGUCGUAGUCCGGAUUGGAGUCUGCAACUCGACUCCAUGAAGUCGGAAUCGCUAGUAAUCGUGGAUCAGAAUGCCACGGUGAAUACGUUCCCGGGCCUUGUACACACCGCCCGUCACACCAUGGGAGUGGGUUGCAAAAGAAGUAGGUAGCUUAACCUUCGGGAGGGCGCUUACCACUUUGUGAUUCAUGACUGGGGUGAAGUCGUAACAAGGUAACCGUAGGGGAACCUGCGGUUGGAUCACCUCCUUA